GUUUGAUUAUUUGUACUUGUUUGACAAUAGCCCUUUUUUUCUCUGUACAUAGCACAUACCGAACCCUAUCGAAGCUGGGCUCUUAAUACCGUGAUGCAAACCAAAAUGGUCCGGAGACAACUAGGGGGUGUCGACAAACUUCCAAUGAGGACCAUUAGACCACUUGAGAAGAAUGACCUCAUAUGACCAAGCUCUAAUGUUGUAAAGCAGAUUUUGAGCUGAUCUCAUCACAACCCCUGGGUGCACCAGCUGUGGAAAUUACGGGCCAAACUUUGGACACACUAGGAAUGACACACUGGUUCAUCUUAAGAUGCACAGAUCUACCUAUAGCCCACCAUCAAUCCCACACUCAACUUGCAACGAAGUUUCAUUAAGUGCAGUCUAUAACCCGUGUCUGCCAUGCACGGUCUGCACCUUGUUUUAUUGCAGAUGUUAUGGAUUAUUCUAUUAGAGCUCUUUAUAUUCUUUA
Onychostoma macrolepis is the source of this 469-nucleotide long non-coding RNA. RefSeq lists it as uncharacterized. The transcript has 3 exons. Lineage: Eukaryota; Metazoa; Chordata; Actinopteri; Cypriniformes; Cyprinidae. The record is from RefSeq and is a predicted model, not a curated record.